CCUACGGGUGGCUGCAGUGGGGAAUAUUGGACAAUGGGCGAAAGCCUGAUCCAGCCAUGCCGCGUGUGUGAAGAAGGCCUUCGGGUUGUAAAGCACUUUCAGUGGGGAAGAAAGCCUUGGGGCUAAUACCCUCGAGGAAGGACAUCACCCACAGAAGAAGCACCGGCUAACUCCGUGCCAGCAGCCGCGGUAAUACGGAGGGUGCGAGCGUUAAUCGGAAUUACUGGGCGUAAGCGCGCGUAGGCGGUCUGAUAAGCCGGUUGUGAAAGCCCCGGGCUCAACCUGGGAACGGCAUCCGGAACUGUCAGGCUAGAGUGCAGGAGAGGAAGGUAGAAUUCCCGGUGUAGCGGUGAAAUGCGUAGAGAUCGGGAGGAAUACCAGUGGCGAAGGCGGCCUUCUGGACUGACACUGACGCUGAGGUGCGAAAGCGUGGGUAGCAAACAGGAUUAGAUACCCCGGUAGUC
Molecule: ribosomal RNA, 464 nt
Filed under: Vreelandella stevensii
Lineage: Bacteria; Pseudomonadati; Pseudomonadota; Gammaproteobacteria; Oceanospirillales; Halomonadaceae
Description: partial 16S ribosomal RNA
Rfam family: Bacterial small subunit ribosomal RNA
Source: RNAcentral